AAAAACAAAAAUUAUCAAAAUAACCUAAAUACUAAAUUUUAAUUAAAUAACCUAAAAACAAAAAUUUAGAAACAGAUAAACUAAUCUAAUUACUAACCCCAUCCCUGGUAUUCAGGGGUGCAUUUGGUAACAUUGAAAUUGAAAGUAGAUUCUAAUUUUUCAUUGGAAUCGAAAGGAACUCUCAAACCUAGACAAUAAACAUGAUCGUAAACAUGAUCGUUGUAGUCUUCCAAAUCAAAUUUCAAAUCUAAAUUAAAAAUCCCCACAUGAUCGUAAACAUGAUCGUUGUAGUCUUCCAAAUCAAAUUUCAAAUCUAAAUUAAAAAUCCCCAAUCGUGUCUCAUUAUCAUACUCAAUAAAUUGUUGAUCAUUGAGUUUGAUAAAACUGUUCCCCUAAAACAUGAUAGGCUUAAGGAAAAUGGUCUUCUUAUAAGAUGGGUCAAAGGGCGUCAUAUCCACCAUAGCAAAUUGAUUUCCUUUAUAAGAUGAAAUCGCUUUGAUUUUGGUAUCCAUUACUCUGGCACAAAAUUAUAGUAUAAGGUGUUGUCGGUUGUAAGAUUGAACUGCUGGAUAGAGGCAUCAACUACGGUGAAUUUCAUUGGUGAAUUGUCAUCUUGAGAGAUAGAAGAUAUUAGAAAAUCAAUGGCUAACCACCCAAGUACAGUAAACAAAGAAAAGGCCCCGAAGGCAAUUGCGCAGGUAGGGGAAGGUUUAUGGGACAUGAUGGAGUUAUUAGGGUUUCUGAUUUAGAUUGAUU
RNAcentral lists this long non-coding RNA (756 nucleotides) under Lathyrus oleraceus (garden pea). Its description in RNAcentral is "Pisum sativum (pea) long non-coding RNA (PSAT_LNC038356)". Lineage: Eukaryota; Viridiplantae; Streptophyta; Magnoliopsida; Fabales; Fabaceae. The record is from RNAcentral.